RNAcentral lists this ribosomal RNA (904 nucleotides) under uncultured bacterium. Its description in RNAcentral is "bacterial SSU rRNA". It matches the Rfam family "Bacterial small subunit ribosomal RNA", at positions 81 to 1005 of the family's 1533-position model. The record is from RNAcentral.
GAUGGGUCAAGUUAGUGGCGAAUGGGUGAGUAACACGUAGGUGACCUACCCCGAUGUGGGGAGUAUCCACUGGAAACGGUGGUUAAUACCCCAUGUGAUCGACGAGUCAUAUCGUUGAUGAAAGCUUCGGCGCGUCGGGAGGGGCCUGCGGCCCAUCAGGUAGUAGGUAGGGUAAAGGCCUACCAAGCCGAUGACGGGUAGCUGGUCUGAGAGGAUGGUCAGCCACACUGGAACUGAAACACGGUCCAGACUCCUACGGGAGGCAGCAGUGAGGAAUAUUGCGCAAUGGACGGCAGUCUGACGCAGCAACGCCGCGUGAGCGAUGAAGGCCUUCGGGUCGUAAAGCUCUUUUCUGAGGGACGAGGAAGGACGGUACCUCAGGAAUAAGCCUCGGCUAACUACGUGCCAGCAGCCGCGGUAAAACGUAGGAGGCGAGCGUUAUCCGGAUUUAUUGGGCGUAAAGCGCAUGCAGGUGGUUCUGCGAGUCGGAUGUGAAAGCUCCCGGCUUAACUGGGAGAGGUCGUUCGAAACUGCAGGACUGGAGGUCGGAAGAGGGAAGCGGAAUUCCCGGUGUAGUGGUGGAAUGCGUAGAUAUCGGGAGGAACACCAGUGGCGGAAGCGGCUUCCUGGUCCGCACCUGACACUCAGAUGCGAAAGCGUGGGGAGCGAACAGGAUUAGAUACCCUGGUAGUCCGCGCUGUAAACGAUGGGUACUGGGUAUCGGUGGUAUUGACCCCAUCGUGUCGAAGCUAACGCGUUAAGUACCCCGCCUGGGGACUACGGCCGCAAGGUUAAAACUCAAAGGAAUUGACGGGGGCCCGCACAAGCAGCGGAGCGUGUGGUUUAAUUCGAUGCAACACGAGAACCUUACCUGGGUUUGACAUGAUGGUAGUAGUGAAGCGAA